RNAcentral lists this transfer-messenger RNA (370 nucleotides) under Herbiconiux sp. L3-i23. It matches the Rfam family "transfer-messenger RNA". Rfam says of the family: Bacterial tmRNA, also known as 10Sa RNA or SsrA, is named for its dual tRNA and mRNA-like properties. Its role is to liberate the mRNA from a stalled ribosome. The record is from RNAcentral. Lineage: Bacteria; Bacillati; Actinomycetota; Actinomycetes; Micrococcales; Microbacteriaceae.
GGGGAUGAUCGGUUUCGACAUUGCCUGAAUGACCGUGAGAAGCGGGCCGAGGAUGCAGGGUUAUCUCGUAAACGAUCUCUGCAAACCAUAGGUGCCAAUUCCAAGCGCACCGACUUCGCUCUCGCCGUCUGAGCUAGAGCUGUAAGUCCGUCAGCCCGGGUCCGCUUCCGCCCCGGUGUCUGGCGUCAUCUAGGGAGCUCGCCGCGAUGCUGCGUCUCAGGGCAUCGCGGGACUUUUCCUGAGGCUGGGCUCGUCGGGGCAGGUGCUUGCGACAAACUCCGGAGCCGAGUAGAACGCUUUCCGCAGGCUACGCCCGUAGAAGGCACGGGAUUACAGCAAUGGACGGGGGUUCAAUUCCCCCCAUCUCCAC